GACGAACGCUGGCGGCGUGCCUAAUACAUGCAAGUUGAGCGCUGAAGGUUGGUCCUUGUACCAACUGGAUGAGCAGCGCACGGGUGAGUAACGCGUGGGGAAUCUGCCUUUGAGCGGGGGACAACAUUUGGAAACGAAUGCUAAUACCGCAUAAAAACUUUAAACACAAGUUUUAAGUUUGAAAGAUGCAAUUGCAUCACUCAAAGAUGAUCCCGCGUUGUAUUAGCUAGUUGGUGAGGUAAAGGCUCACCAAGGCGAUGAUACAUAGCCGACCUGAGAGGGUGAUCGGCCACAUUGGGACUGAGACACGGCCCAAACUCCUACGGGAGGCAGCAGUAGGGAAUCUUCGGCAAUGGACGAAAGUCUGACCGAGCAACGCCGCGGGAGUGAAGAAGGUUGUCGGAUCGUAAAACUCUGUUGGUAGAGAAGAACGUUGGUGAGAGUGGAAAGCUCAUCAAGUGACGGUAACUACCCAGAAAGGGACGGCUAACUACGUG
Molecule: ribosomal RNA, 497 nt
Filed under: uncultured bacterium
Lineage: Bacteria
Description: partial 16S ribosomal RNA
Rfam family: Bacterial small subunit ribosomal RNA
Source: RNAcentral